AUGGAAAAUAGAAAUACCUUUUCUUGGGUAAAGGAACAGAUAACUCGAUCGAUUUCUGUAUCGAUCAUGAUAUACGUAAUAACUCGGACAUCUAUUUCAAAUGCAUAUCCCAUUUUUGCGCAGCAGGGUUAUGAAAACCCACGAGAAGCAACUGGACGAAUUGUAUGUGCCAAUUGCCAUUUAGCUAGCAAGCCCGUCGAUAUUGAAGUUCCCCAAGCUGUGCUUCCCGAUACUGUAUUUGAAGCAGUUCUUCGAAUUCCUUAUGAUAUGCAAUUGAAACAAGUUCUUGCUAAUGGAAAAAAGGGAGGGUUGAAUGUAGGUGCUGUUCUUAUUUUGCCCGAGGGAUUCGAAUUAGCGCCGCCCGAUCGUAUUUCCCCUGAGUUAAAAGAAAAGAUAGGAAAUCUUGCUUUUCAGAGUUAUCAUCCCGAUAAAAAAAACAUUCUUGUGAUAGGCCCUGUUCCCGGUAAGAAAUAUAGUGAAAUUGUCUUUCCCAUUCUUUCCCCUGAUCCUGCUACGAAGAAAGAUGCUCAUUUCUUAAAAUAUCCCAUAUAUGUAGGGGGAAACCGAGGAAGAGGACAGAUCUAUCCUGAUGGUAGCAAGAGUAACAAUACAGUCUAUAAUGCUACGUCAACAGGUAUAGUAAGAAAAAUACUACGUAAAGAAAAAGGGGGGUAUGAAAUAUCCAUAGUUGAUGCAUCAGAUGGACGCCAAGUGAUUGAUAUUAUACCUCCCGGACCAGAACUUCUUGUUUCAGAGGGGGAAUCCAUCAAGCUUGAUCAACCAUUAACAAGCAAUCCUAAUGUGGGAGGUUUUGGUCAGGGGGACGCAGAAAUCGUGCUUCAGGAUCCAUUACGUGUCCAAGGCCUUUUGUUCUUCUUCGCAUCCAUUAUUUUGGCACAAGUUUUUUUGGUUCUCAAAAAGAAACAGUUUGAAAAGGUUCAAUUGUACGAAAUGAAUUUCUAG
RNAcentral lists this ribosomal RNA (963 nucleotides) under Triticum aestivum (bread wheat). RNAcentral's name for it is "partial small subunit ribosomal RNA". Lineage: Eukaryota; Viridiplantae; Streptophyta; Magnoliopsida; Poales; Poaceae. The record is from RNAcentral.